CAAUCGGCCCCUUUCGGGGCCACCAAUUUUUCUUCACGUUGGAA
Non-coding RNA from Dufourea novaeangliae, 44 nucleotides. The record is from Rfam. NCBI's taxonomy places the organism in Eukaryota, Metazoa, Arthropoda, Insecta, Hymenoptera, Halictidae.